UUAAAUUUUAUUUAUUAAUUUAAUUUUUUUAGAUUUAAAGUAUUAAAAAUAAUUAUAUAAAAAAAAGUUUUAGUAUUGUUUAAAGAAAAAAUAAAUUUAAUAAUAGUUUAAUAGUAUUGUAAAAGAAAAUUGAAAUAAUUUGAAAAAUUUUUAUUUUAAAAGAAAAUUUAAUUUAUUGUACCUUGUGUAUCAGUGUUUAUUAAAUAAAAAAUAUUUAAUUAUUUUUCUCGAUUUUAAAAGAGUUAGUGUGAUAUUAAAGUUAAUGUAAUAAAAUUAUUUUAAAUAUUAUACUAGAAAUGAAAUGUUAUUCGUUUUUAAAGGUAUCUAGUUUUUCAAGAAAUGAAUUAAAUUUAGAAAUUAUAAAUUUAUUAAAUUUUUUAAAAAAUUUAAUAAUUUAUAAUUUUAAUAUUUUAUGGGAUAAGCUAUAAAAUAAAUUUUUAAAAAUAAUAAAUAAAUUUAAUAAAUAUAUGUUUAGAAUUAGCAAUUGUUUAUAAAUAUGUUAUAAUUUAUUUUAUAAAUGAAAUUAUUUAUUAAAUUUUAAAUAUUUAUUGAAAUAUUAAUUUUAAUUUUUAAAAUUAAGUAAUAAUGAUAAAAUUAGUAUAUUGUAUUGUAGAAAUAAAUUUAAAUGGAAAGUUUAUGUAAAG
RNAcentral lists this ribosomal RNA (644 nucleotides) under Drosophila micromyia. RNAcentral describes it as "partial 16S ribosomal RNA". The record is from RNAcentral. Lineage: Eukaryota; Metazoa; Arthropoda; Insecta; Diptera; Drosophilidae.